AUGGUCUUAGCUUGCUAAGGCCGAUGGCGACCGGCGCACGGGUGAGUAACACGUAUCCAACCUGCCGUCUACUCUUGGACAGCCUUCUGAAAGGAAGAUUAAUACAAGAUGGCAUCAUGAGUUCACAUGUUCACAUGAUUAAAGGUAUUCCGGUAGACGAUGGGGAUGCGUUCCAUUAGAUAGUAGGCGGGGUAACAGCCCACCAAGGCGACGAUCAGUAGGGGUUCUGAGAGGAAGGUCCCCCACAUUGGAACUGAGACACGGUCCAAACUCC
This 274-nucleotide ribosomal RNA is filed under the name uncultured Bacteroides sp. Its description in RNAcentral is "partial 16S ribosomal RNA". It matches the Rfam family "Bacterial small subunit ribosomal RNA", at positions 69 to 339 of the family's 1533-position model. The record is from RNAcentral. Lineage: Bacteria; Pseudomonadati; Bacteroidota; Bacteroidia; Bacteroidales; Bacteroidaceae.